Molecule: ribosomal RNA, 123 nt
Filed under: Benthochromis sp. J78
Lineage: Eukaryota; Metazoa; Chordata; Actinopteri; Cichliformes; Cichlidae
Description: partial 12S ribosomal RNA
Source: RNAcentral
CGCGCACACACCGCCCGUCACUCUCCCCAAGCCAACUUACACCCUAUAAAUAAUUUAUUUUACCGGUAAAGGGGAGGCAAGUCGUAACAUGGUAAGUGUACCGGAAGGUGCACUUGGCGAAAU